GACGAACGCUGGCGGCGUGCUUAACACAUGCAAGUCGAACGGUGAUGCUCCAGCUUGCUGGAGUGGAUCAGUGGCGAACGGGUGAGUAACACGUGAGCAACCUGCCCCGGACUCUGGAAUAAGCGCUGGAAACGGCGUCUAAUACUGGAUACGAAACUGGCCCGCAUGGGCAUGGUUUGGAAAGUUUUUCGGUUUGGGAUGGGCUCGCGGCCUAUCAGCUUGUUGGUGAGGUAAUGGCUCACCAAGGCGACGACGGGUAGCCGGCCUGAGAGGGCGACCGGCCACACUGGGACUGAGACACGGCCCAGACUCCUACGGGAGGCAGCAGUGGGGAAUAUUGCACAAUGGGCGAAAGCCUGAUGCAGCGACGCCGCGUGAGGGAUGACGGCCUUCGGGUUGUAAACCUCUUUCAGCAGGGAAGAAGCGAAAGUGACGGUACCUGCAGAAGAAGCACCGGCUAACUACGUG
Molecule: ribosomal RNA, 468 nt
Filed under: uncultured bacterium
Lineage: Bacteria
Description: partial 16S ribosomal RNA
Rfam family: Bacterial small subunit ribosomal RNA
Source: RNAcentral